CCUACGGGAGGCAGCAGUGGGGAAUUUUGGACAAUGGGCGAAAGCCUGAUCCAGCAAUGCCGCGUGCAGGAAGAAGGCCUUCGGGUUGUAAACUGCUUUUGUACGGAACGAAACGGUCCGCUUUAAUACAGUGGGCUAAUGACGGUACCGUAAGAAUAAGCACCGGCUAACUACGUGCCAGCAGCCGCGGUAAUACGUAGGGUGCGAGCGUUAAUCGGAAUUACUGGGCGUAAAGCGUGCGCAGGCGGUUAUAUAAGACAGUUGUGAAAUCCCCGGGCUCAACCUGGGAAUUGCAUCUGUGACUGUAUAGCUAGAGUACGGUAGAGGGGGAUGGAAUUCCGCGUGUAGCAGUGAAAUGCGUAGAUAUGCGGAGGAACACCGAUGGCGAAGGCAAUCCCCUGGACUUGUACUGACGCUCAUGCACGAAAGCGUGGGGAGCAAACAGGAUUAGAUACCCUGGUAGUCCACGCCCUAAACGAUGUCAACUGGUUGUUGGGUGCAUUAGUACUCAGUAACGAAGCUAACGCGUGAAGUUGACCGCCUGGGGAUACGGCCGCAAGGUUGAAACUUAGAAAGUAGUAGACGUGAGAGAGCGACGACGACGACGACGGAGGAGGAGG
This 620-nucleotide ribosomal RNA is filed under the name uncultured bacterium. RNAcentral describes it as "bacterial SSU rRNA". It matches the Rfam family "Bacterial small subunit ribosomal RNA", at positions 338 to 956 of the family's 1533-position model. The record is from RNAcentral.